Molecule: long non-coding RNA, 418 nt
Filed under: Elaeis guineensis (African oil palm)
Lineage: Eukaryota; Viridiplantae; Streptophyta; Magnoliopsida; Arecales; Arecaceae
Description: long non-coding RNA (EGUI_LNC048334)
Source: RNAcentral
GGGUCAAACCCAACUGAAUCCAAUUCAAUUGGACUUGAUCCAAAAAUAAUUACUCAAUCAAAUUGAGUUAAUUAGCGAUCAAAUCACUAAUUAAACCUCUCAUAAAUAUUGAGUCCAAAUCUGAUGGGUAAUCGGGCAUCAGAACUCAUCGAUAUGUAACCCUGAUCGAAGAGUCCCAAACCAGUGGGACUCUUGACCCUGGUACCCAAAAUGUGUGGGACUCAUGAUCAGAGAAUCCUGAUUCUCGAUCAUAGAGUCCUAGACAUGUAGGACUCAUAGUCCAUGAGCAUUAAGAUUCUUCAUCAGCCAUCAGAUCAGAUAGGAACCUCUAAUGUGUGUGACCCCAUAGGUUCGAACCUAAGCCGGUAGCACAGGAACCAAUUUCUGUACUAAUCGAAGUGACCAUCUAGCAAUGGUA